Molecule: long non-coding RNA, 820 nt
Organism: Alosa sapidissima (American shad)
Lineage: Eukaryota; Metazoa; Chordata; Actinopteri; Clupeiformes; Clupeidae
Exons: 4
Source: RefSeq, a predicted model, not a curated record
CCACUGCAGCACCCUAUCUUUACCACAGCAACCAGAUCACAGAAGAAAAAUAUCAUCAUCUGGGACUACAGGAUUAUCUUUUGCAAAUUCAGGAGGGAUUUCUCUCAUCUUUGGUCUUUUGGUCAUCCUUCCACUGACCUUCCCUGCAGAGGGGAGCCUCAUCAGCGUCACCAAUGGAGGACGCUGGGGCAGAUGGGGUGGCAUGACAAAAUGCCCCUGUGGCCAUCGUGCUAUUGGCUUCUGUCUUAAGGUGGAAAGGGCACAGGGAGGCGGAGAUGACACGGCACUUAAUUCAAUCGGACUUCUUUGCAAACACACACGAACUCGUUCAAUAUUACCAUAUGGACGAUGGGGGCGGUGGACUCCAGCAAAGGUGUGCCGCAAUUAUGGAUACCUUACAUCAUUCAGACUCCGCGUGGAGCGUCCUCAGGGUGGUGGAGAUGACACGGCUGCCAACAACAUCAUGUUCCGGUGCAACACUGGAGAGGUUCUGACGGGUGCUGGCAUGCACUGGGGCACAUGGAGUGGAUGGAGUGGCCAGUGAUCUGGGGGAAGGGGAAUCUGCGGUGUUCAGAUGAAAGUCGAACGAGCACAGGGCUGGGGAGACGACACUGCCCUGAAUGAUGUCAGAUUCCAGUGCUGUCAGUGAAGUCAGCUUCAUUACGCAGUGCGUGCAUAGUGGCCUAACUGAGCAGUUAUCAGUAGCUUUCUGCUUUGUUGAUCUAUAGGCUCCAUCUUUUAAUUGCAUGCAGCUCUAAAUGCUGUUGAGAAUCAUUUCACCCGUUCAGCUCAACUUCUAUCAAUAAAUUCUGAAGCAUUA